UGGGGAGCAAACAGGAUUAGAUACCCUGGUAGUCCACGCCGUAAACGAUGUCGACUUGGAGGUUGUUCCCUUGAGGAGUGGCUUCCGGAGCUAACGCGUUAAGUCGACCGCCUGGGGAGUACGGCCGCAAGGUUAAAACUCAAAUGAAUUGACGGGGGCCCGCACAAGCGGUGGAGCAUGUGGUUUAAUUCGAUGCAACGCGAAGAACCUUACCUACUCUUGACAUCCAGCGAAUUCGGCAGAGAUGCCUUAGUGCCUUCGGGAACGCUGAGACAGGUGCUGCAUGGCUGUCGUCAGCUCGUGUUGUGAAAUGUUGGGUUAAGUCCCGCAACGAGCGCAACCCUUAUCCUUUGUUGCCAGCACGUCAUGGUGGGAACUCAAAGGAGACUGCCGGUGAUAAACCGGAGGAAGGUGGGGAUGACGUCAAGUCAUCAUGGCCCUUACGAGUAGGGCUACACACGUGCUACAAUGGCGCAUACAAAGAGAAGCGACCUCGCGAGAGCAAGCGGACCUCACAAAGUGCGUCGUAGUCCGGAUCGGAGUCUGCAACUCGACUCCGUGAAGUCGGAAUCGCUAGUAAUCGUGGAUCAGAAUGCCACGGUGAAUACGUUCCCGGGCCUUGUACACACCGCCCGUCACACCAUGGGAGUGGGUUGCAAAAGAAGUAGGUGACUUAGACUCCUACGGCAG
RNAcentral lists this ribosomal RNA (690 nucleotides) under Pantoea agglomerans. RNAcentral's name for it is "bacterial SSU rRNA". It matches the Rfam family "Bacterial small subunit ribosomal RNA", at positions 762 to 1449 of the family's 1533-position model. Lineage: Bacteria; Pseudomonadati; Pseudomonadota; Gammaproteobacteria; Enterobacterales; Erwiniaceae. The record is from RNAcentral.